Non-coding RNA from Paramuricea clavata, 158 nucleotides. Lineage: Eukaryota; Metazoa; Cnidaria; Anthozoa; Malacalcyonacea; Plexauridae. The record is from the annotation of a GenBank genome assembly.
UACAUAUAUGUUAUUUACCGGCUGCGAGGUCCGGAUGAGAAAAACUGUGCCCGAAGUCUUGAAAACGGCCCGAGCCCGAAGGGCGAGGGACGUUUUCAAGACCGAGGGCACAGUUUUUCUCAUCCGGACCGACGCUGCCGGUAAAUAACGUGUUUAUU